CCGAGUUAUCCAACUCCCAACCCCUGUGAAUCAUACCUUUAAUUGUUGCUUCGGCGGGACUUCGCGCCCGCCGGGGACCCGAACCUUCUGAAUUUUUUAAUAAGUAUCUUCUGAGUGGUUAAAAAAUGAAUCA
This 133-nucleotide unclassified non-coding RNA is filed under the name soil metagenome. RNAcentral describes it as "partial internal transcribed spacer 1". The record is from RNAcentral.